AUGAUGACCCGAAUCCGUAUUUUUUCUAUAAAAAAUGGAAGAAUUGGUGUGAAUUGAUUCUACAUUGAAGAAAGAAUCGAAUAUUCAUUGAUCAAACCAUUCACUCCAUACUCUGAUAGAUCUUUUGAAGAACUGAUUAAUCGGACGAGAAUAAAGAUAGAGUCCCGUUCUACAUGUCAAUACCGGCAACAAUGAAAUUUAUAGUAAAUCGAAUAUUCAUUGAUCAAACCAUUCACUCCAUACUCUGAUAGAUCUUUUGAAGAACUGAUUAAUCGGACGAGAAUAAAGAUAGAGUCUCGUUCUACAUGUCAAUACCAGCAACAAUGAAAUUCAUAGUAAGAGGAAAAUCCGUCGAUUUUAAAAAUCGUGAGGGUUGAAGUCCCUCUAUCCCCA
This 393-nucleotide long non-coding RNA is filed under the name Nicotiana benthamiana. RNAcentral describes it as "long non-coding RNA (NBEN_LNC004994)". The record is from RNAcentral. Lineage: Eukaryota; Viridiplantae; Streptophyta; Magnoliopsida; Solanales; Solanaceae.